CAAAUGCAUAAUGAUCUCACCUCAAAUUAAGCCCUCUUACUGAUUACUUAAUGAUGAGCAAAGAUCUGAUGUUCUUG
Molecule: small nucleolar RNA, 77 nt
Organism: Fukomys damarensis (Damara mole-rat)
Lineage: Eukaryota; Metazoa; Chordata; Mammalia; Rodentia; Bathyergidae
Gene: SNORD81
Rfam family: Small nucleolar RNA SNORD81
About the family: U81 is a member of the C/D class of snoRNA which contain the C (UGAUGA) and D (CUGA) box motifs. U81 acts as a guanine methylation guide and is found in intron 11 of the gas5 gene in mammals. This RNA has also been called Z23 snoRNA.
Source: Ensembl